GUGAGGAAUAUUGGUCAAUGGACGAGAGUCUGAACCAGCCAAGUCGCGUGAAGGAAGACGGUUCUAUGAAUUGUAAACUUCUUUUGUGCAGGAAUAAAGUGGGUUACGUGUAACCUUUUGUAUGUACUGUACGAAUAAGGAUCGGCUAACUCCGUGCCAGCAGCCGCGGUAAUACGGAGGAUCCGAGCGUUAUCCGGAUUUAUUGGGUUUAAAGGGUGCGUAGGUGGAUUGAUAAGUCAGCGGUGAAAGUUUGCAGCUUAACUGUAAAAUUGCCGUUGAAACUGUCGGUCUUGAGUGCAAAUGAGGGAGGCGGAAUGUGUUGUGUAGCGGUGAAAUGCUUAGAUAUAACACAGAACUCCGAUUGCGAAGGCAGCUUACUGGGAUGCAACUGACACUGAUGCACGAAAGCGUGGGUAUCAAACAGGAUUAGAUACCCCUGUAGUCC
RNAcentral lists this ribosomal RNA (445 nucleotides) under uncultured bacterium. Its description in RNAcentral is "partial 16S ribosomal RNA". It matches the Rfam family "Bacterial small subunit ribosomal RNA", at positions 354 to 796 of the family's 1533-position model. The record is from RNAcentral.